Molecule: unclassified non-coding RNA, 926 nt
Filed under: Leishmania donovani
Lineage: Eukaryota; Euglenozoa; Kinetoplastea; Trypanosomatida; Trypanosomatidae
Description: gene:LdHU3.28.4300(CDS-product:hypothetical_prote in_conserved)
Source: RNAcentral
GCGGUGAGGAACUAGCUGUGCUCGUAGCCGACUUCCGUGCGCUUUUGUACUUGUAUGUGGGCAUGUAUGUGUUGUACUGAUCGUCGCACCACUGAGCAAGAAACAAAACCGAGAAAAAAGCGCCUAGGUGAGGGAUGGGCUACGGCGUUCGCUUGUCCAUUUUACCGCUUCGCGGAGGAUGCCGCCGCUGGUUCUCUGGGUGCGGUACUGGCAGCAUUCUCGGCACAGCCACCAUGGCCGGGAGCCUGCUGAAGACCCUCCAGGAGGAUCUAAGAGACGAGACUGAGCUGCGCACGAAAGGAAUAGGGGAGACACUGCAAAACUACGUGCACCGCGCAGAGCUCUCUCACAUGGAGAGCCCGGAGGCGGACGAGGCGUUCUCAAAGAGCUUGGAUGCCAAGGUCGACGAUCUCUUUGCGCGCAUUCCCCUCCCACAGGACCCCAUGAAGGUAGCCCUAGCACUGACGGAUGAGGAAGCGAAGGAGGAGGCCGCUGCUGAGCUCGUGAAGGAGGCGGUGCGGGAGAUGUACUGGCGAAAACUGGAUGCUAAACAGGCUGAAGAACUGCGCCUCAAGAGAGCACAAGAGAAGCUUCAAAAGCAAGGGGCGAUCCAGUACUUUGAAGAGCGGCGCGAAGAGAGACUGCGGGAGCACACGAAUAGACGAUUUGCCGCCCAACCGCUCGCAGUAGAGCCCCAGUCUCCGGCAGGCAAGGGGGUCACGGCGUCGCCUCUCCAGAAUCCCGAUUCCACGCUGUCAGCGGAGGAGUUGUGCGAAGAGCUGGCCACGCUGAAGGCGAAUGUGUCUCGACUGGAGGAGCUUCUGCGCUAUAAGACAUAAGGUGCGUGUCUGUGCCUUCACUCCUCGACACCUCACGUGAGGGGAGCAUUGACGCCGCUGAAGUUGCUAAGCUGAUCAGAGCACGAC